Molecule: long non-coding RNA, 1759 nt
Organism: Vicia villosa (hairy vetch)
Lineage: Eukaryota; Viridiplantae; Streptophyta; Magnoliopsida; Fabales; Fabaceae
Exons: 9
Source: RefSeq, a predicted model, not a curated record
GCUUCUUCGGUGAGAUCAAACACAACUUGUUCAGAAGCGCUUCAGCGGAGAAGCACUUUUUCUCACGCGCAUCGGCUCAAGCUUUCUCGGUUUCUCUUGUGCGACACACUCUCAAACUCAUGCUCUCUCCCUCUCAAUUCUUACGCAACAACAACAAUUACGACAUAGAUUCUGUUGGUCUCGAAUUAGUUGGAUUUGGAUUUCAGAACUGAUUUGAAUUGUUAACGAUUCAGGAUUCGAUUCGCGUUAGGGUUCAGAGUCUGUUUGCGCUCGAAAUUUCAACUCAGAGCAGUUUGAGUUAAAGUUAGAGCAGGCAUACGAUAUCAUAAAGCUGAGAAUGGAGGAAUGCUUACCGGUUGAAGCAACAACGAGAAAAAAAUGUAGCUUCCAAUCUUGCUCACAAGCUUCCAACAUGGUAAAGUUUUGUCAAAUGCAAAGUCUUGGACGCCCUCCAAAUGGGAAAAACGACUUCCUUCCAUUGGUUGCUUUUAGAGGACCUUCAGAAAAUCUUUAUGGAUUGAACUCAUUAGCAUCAUCACCCCAUAGCUUUGUGUCACGGUGAACUAAAAGUGCCGGCAAGAAAAAUUGCACUCCAGCAGGCAAUGUUAGGUCUCCAACUUUUACAUAUUUUUGAACUUCUCGAGGAAGUGCAACUAUUGGCGGGUAUAACAACCAAGUUGUUGUUUCUGCUGGAGUAUUUCGUGUUUCUACCGGCUUUAGUUUUUGGGUUUGUUUUGGUGGGGUGCAGAGCACACUUGUUCAUUUAUGUACAGAGUGAUCUGCCAUUUUGGUGUACAGAAAAACAAAACUACUUGCUGAUGCAAUUUUUUGUAGCAAAGAAAUGAAAUGAGAAUUAGAAUUGAAAAUUGAGGAAAAAUUAUGAGAUGGGGAGUUAAGUGACAUUGAGAAACUAUCCAAGCAAUUCUCUAACAAGUGGCGGCAACUUGAAAUCUUGAAGCGUUGAUUACAAAUACCGACUCUUCCUCCAUGUUUGCAUAACUACAUUGUUUAUUUAGCUAACUGAAGAGUAAAAUCAUCUAAUGACGAUUUUGCAUCUCUGCGUAGAUUGCUAUUUUGGUCUAUCUUGUUUGGAGGGAAGAAAUGGAUAAGAAAAAAGCAAGCCAAGAAGAAAAAUUGCUGAUUAAACAGUUGGACAGAAAUAGAAGAGAAGCUGAGAAAGCUGAGAAAGAGAAGGAGAAAGCUGAAGCUAAAGAGAAAGAAAAAGAAAGCAUGCAGUGUGAUAUAAAAACAGAAACAACUGCCAUUGUAUUAGAGUCUCAUCAAGAAAACAAAGUUGACGCGUCUGAAACUGCCAAGGCUGUGAUAUCUUGCUUCAAUAAGUUGGGGGUCUCUUUCGAUAUGGAUCAGAUACAAUUAAUCAGGGACCCUAAGCAUCAAGUUGAAAUGGUGGGAGUUCCAGAGUAGUAUUUAUCGGGUCAUGCCUUUCAGAUGUAUCAUUUGACAUCACCUAUGGUGGGAGUUCCAGAUGCUGUAUUAUUUCUUGCUAAAAAGAUUGAAGCAAAGGAUUCCAAGAGAAUCUACAAUAUGAUUGAUGUUUUGCGAGAGGGUAAUAUGCGAUAAAAAGUUCUAUGGAGUAUGAUGCAAGAUGUGGAAAUUUGGGAUUCUAAUAAAGCAAUUUUCAUCUUGUGUCCAAUUUUCGUAUCGAUUUAUUUGAGGAAAGCUUAGUUUGUACUAUUGUGGCUUAUCUAUAACAUGAUUUGAGUAAGAACAAUAUAAUAUAAAGACGUACGGUUACUAA